UACAGUGCAAGGUGCUAAACCAUGACCGUCUGCUGAAAAAGUGGGAUCGGGCCAUGACGCUGGUACUCAUCAUCAUCAUCAUCUCCAAAAGUACAAGGAGACAUGGGCUCUUGGUACAACUGGGCUUGUAAAUCCCUUUGCUUUGGGGACUGCGGUGCAUUGGCCACGUUUGAAACCUGAUCUGCUCGACCACUCGGAAAGGGAAACACUGGAGGGAUUGUGUUGUCGAAGGCUUUCAUGGCCGGAAUCCUUGGGCUGUCUGGCCACGUUCUAGAAGCAUUCUCUCCUGACAUUUCACCCACAUCUAUGGCAGGCAUCCUCAGAGGUUGUGAGGAGGAAGAACAAACAGUGCGGAAACUGUAUCAGCACCAGGCAGGUGAAGGCUUGCCCGUUUCCAGGGCAGCCGUGUGUCAUGUAUCACGGCCAGGCUUUGUCUGGACCCCGAUAUCCCGGGAACGCCACCGGUUGAGCAAACAACGGCGCCUGCCAAGCCUCCUGACAUCCAUAAGCCGAGACCCAGGUAAAGGGGGCGGCCGUGUGGUGUUGUUUCCUGUUGCCCAGGUUACCUCCGGUGCCUUGCUGCCUCUCUGACAUAAAUUCUUUAUGAAGAAGAGGACAACUGUUUUCUUUCCCCUUUUUGUUGCUCUUGUGCGUACGGCCUAUUUUUAUCCCCCCGACAAUAGAAUAAGCCAAUGAUGGUCAACCUUUUGCGCUUGGUGUGUCAAAAUUCACCAAAAAACCUAGCAUGACUUGGGUGGUGUGUCACUUUGAGAAAAAAAACCAUAAUUUCACAAUAUGUAUAGUUUAAAUAACAAAAAUAUAUAAUUGUAAUAUACAACUGUAUUUAAUAAAUCAUAACUAUUUACUACCAUUAUUUCCAUGUACAACAAUCUUUGGUACCUCUUGCAGUUUCCACACUGAUUUUUCUCUAUUCUAGUUUCAAUGUAGUCACAAAUAAUGAAUAAUAUAAUAGUAAUAAUAUGAUAAUAUACUACAAUAAUAGAAUAAUCAUAGAACGAUUAUAUAUGUAACUAGCUGUGCCCGGCCACGCGUUGCUGUGGCGUUGUCUGGUGGUGUUGGUGAGAAAUUGUUGAGGUAGUGGUGGUAUUGAAUGUCUGUUGUAUGGUAGUCUUUAUGUUUACUAUGCACACUGAAGUGGAUUAUAUGGCAGUGUGGAGUCAAGAUAAUCCAGUUCAAAGCAGAUAAUAUAAUAUUAUAAAUGGGUUAUACAGCUGUGUGGAAGGGCCUUGAGUCUACACUGCCAUAUAAUCCAGUGCAAAUUAGAUAAUCUGUGGAAGAGGCCUAAGUGAGGCCUAACUGUGCCUGUCCCCUGGGCUGAGUAGGUUGCUAAGAGACCAAGUGGGCGGAGCUUAGCCUUCUAACUGGCAGCAAUUGGAUAAAAACUAUUAUUCCUUUCCCUUUAAUUAGGACUUUAUUUUUCUUUUCUUUUUGUUGUAUCAACCUAGAGCCGUGAAUGAUGGGUUGUGUUGUCAAAUUUCGAGGUUGGGGGGCCUGUAGUUUUGUUGUUUUGCCCGGUGCCCUGAUGCCAUCACUAUUUUAUAUAUAUAGACUAGCUGUGCCCGGCCACGCGUUGCUGUGGCGUAUGGGAAUUCUUUGUUAGGUAGGUGGAAUAACAGUGAAUAGCUUUUUAGCCUGAAAGCCUGGCCAUUUUCUUAUGUGAAUCCUUGUUUGGUGAGGUGGAAUAGAAAGGAAUAGGCUUGCUGCUUGGAAGGUUAGGUAGUUGCCUUUUAGGGGAAUGUCUUUUUGGGGUGGUAGAAUUGUAAUGAAUAGCCUCGGUGGUUCAAAGCCUGGGUGCUUGCUACCUAGGGGAAAUCUUUGAGCGAGCUGAUCCUGGGCAGCCAUGCUGUCCCGAAAAAUACUUUGAGUUCCGCACGCAUGUGUACAUUGCCUGUUGUGGGUUUUGGCCUUUUUUUGGUGUUGUGAUUGUGUUUUUUGUGUGAUUGUGUUGUAUCUUACUGGAGGCAUGGAUGAUGGAUUGUGUUGCCAAUUUUAGAGUUUGGGGGGUGUUGGGUUUUGUUGUUUUGUGAGUCACCGUGAUGCCAAAAGCCUUUUAUAUAUAUAGAUUACUAAAAAUGAUAUAGAAAUAUUUUAUUACAAAAUUGAGGACGGGGGUCAGGCAAAUGACCUUGGAGGGCGGCAUCCGGACCCCAGGCUGGAUCCUGAAGGGUGAUCCUGAAGGGCUGGGUGUU
Anolis carolinensis (green anole) is the source of this 2210-nucleotide long non-coding RNA. RefSeq lists it as uncharacterized. The record is from RefSeq and is a predicted model, not a curated record. The transcript has 3 exons. Lineage: Eukaryota; Metazoa; Chordata; Lepidosauria; Squamata; Anolidae.